UGGGGAAUUUUGGACAAUGGGGGAACCCUGAUCCAGCCAUCCCGCGUGUGCGAUGAAGGCCCUUCGGGUUGUAAAGCACUUUUGGCAGGAAAGAAACGUCGCGGGUUAAUACCCCCGCGAAACUGACGGUACCUGCAGAAUAAGCACCGGCUAACUACGUGCCAGCAGCCGCGGUAAUACGUAGGGUGCAAGCGUUAAUCGGAAUUACUGGGCGUAAAGCGUGCGCAGGCGGUUCGGAAAGAAAGAUGUGAAAUCCCAGAGCUUAACUUUGAACUGCAUUUUUAACUACCGGGCUAGAGUGUGUCAGAGGGAGGUGGAAUUCCGCGUGUAGCAGUGAAAUGCGUAGAUAUGCGGAGGAACACCGAUGGCGAAGGCAGCCCCCUGGGAUAACACUGACGCUCAUGCACGAAAGCGUGGGGGGCAAACAGGAUUAGUACCCUGGUAGUCCACGCCCUAAACGAUGUCAACUAGCUGUUGGGGCCUUCGGGCCUUGGUAGGCGCAGGCUAACGCGUAAGUUGACCGCCUGGGGAGUACGGUCGCAAGAUUAAAACUCAAAGGAA
RNAcentral lists this ribosomal RNA (561 nucleotides) under uncultured bacterium. Its description in RNAcentral is "partial 16S ribosomal RNA". It matches the Rfam family "Bacterial small subunit ribosomal RNA", at positions 355 to 909 of the family's 1533-position model. The record is from RNAcentral.